CAUAUGAUGGAGUAACUACGUCAGGGUCCAAACAGUUCAGCAAGUUGCCAAGACCGUAUUUCUGGAGUUCAGCAAGGACCCUUCUGGAGCCCAGCAUAACUGUCUUUUCAGCCACACUUCAUUUUUCCCACCCUGGGAGAACAUGGUUUUUAAACAACUUGUGGUAAAAAUCUGGUGGAGAAGAUAACAACAGCAUGUCACACGGCAGUCACCAGAGGAUCAGGAGGUAGUUUUACAGAAACCCUGGGCAACUCGUCAGCCAGCUGAUUAAGUUUCAAAAAUGUACUCAGCAACGUUUCCUGUUUGAUCACUGUUAUCACUUUAUCUCACUCUACGGUGGAGGCAGCACAGGCAGCAUGCGGUGUUUGGGGCAUUCAACUUCCCAUCUGGCCUCUGCUUUGGGAGUGGCCUGGCAGCUCCCAGGCAAAAGGACCCAUCCCGCCUGGCUCUUGGUGUUUGGAGCACAGGACAGGACAGUUUUGCUUCGCUCUUGAAGUCCCCCUUUCUAAUCAAGGGGCAUGGACUGGUGGCACCCUGUAUCCUCCACUCACUUGGUGUAGAGAAUGAAAGCAAGCCUACUCUUUAUGUUAAAAUACAACUUGCAACUUGCUGUGCAAAGGCGACACUCCCAAAUCUCUCAUCAGUGGCCAACGGGACAUCUAAUUGCUUAGCUGGGCAAACGGGACCCGUUCCUGACUGCAGAAGCUGGAUAAAAACUACGUUCCGGUUUACUCCCAAAUGUUUACUCUCCCCACGCUCACCAAAGGGCCCUGCAUGCAGUUCACGUGCCGUCAAGAAGACAAAGCAUAAAGAUGUAAGGACCCCCGGGCAGGGAGAGGGGAGGAGCCCACGUUCCUGGGGUGUAAGCAGAACCCGUCAAGUUUUCUGCUUGAAAAGACCAUUGCCACUGCUUUGCUCCUGAGCGUCCUGCUUCGUGGUGAGAAGAAGACAUGGAAGUUGCUCUGAAGGGAUUUGUAAUCUGCAUCAUAAAUGUUUUCCAGGCCUCUCACAAUAAAACUCUUUGUGCAGAUGUUUGCCGAUCCCUGGGAUGCAUAUUCUGCCUCCAAUUUUUGUAGAAAAUGUUGUGUGUGUGUGUGUGUGUGUGUGUGUGUGUGUGUGUGUGUGAUAGUAACAAGCAAAACUGAAUAGUAAAGACUGUGAUAUAUGUGUUGCUGUACAAAGCCGAUCUGAAGCCAUGCUGCUUUUCUUCUCUCCUUGCUGAUGUCCUCCUCCAAGGAGAAGAAAACUUUGCUCUGAACUUUGAAACUUCAGUUUUUUUGU
Molecule: long non-coding RNA, 1281 nt
Organism: Fukomys damarensis (Damara mole-rat)
Lineage: Eukaryota; Metazoa; Chordata; Mammalia; Rodentia; Bathyergidae
Exons: 5
Source: RefSeq, a predicted model, not a curated record